RNAcentral lists this ribosomal RNA (433 nucleotides) under uncultured bacterium. Its description in RNAcentral is "partial 16S ribosomal RNA". It matches the Rfam family "Bacterial small subunit ribosomal RNA", at positions 29 to 507 of the family's 1533-position model. The record is from RNAcentral.
AGCGAACGCUGGCGGCAGGCCUAACACAUGCCAGUCGAACGAACCUUUCGGGGUUAGUGGCGGACGGGUGAGUAACACGUGGGAACGUGCCUUUAGGUUCGGAAUAACUCAGGGAAACUUGUGCUAAUACCGAAUGUGCCCUUCGGGGGAAAGAUUUAUCGCCUUUAGAGCGGCCCGCGUCUGAUUAGCUAGUUGGUUGAGUAAUGGCUCACCAAGGCGACGAUCAGUAGCUGGUCUGAGAGGAUGAUCAGCCACAUUGGGACUGAGACACGGCCCAAACUCCUACGGGAGGCAGCAGUGGGGAAUCUUGCGCAAUGGGCGAAAGCCUGACGCAGCCAUGCCGCGUGAAUGAUGAAGGUCUUAGGAUUGUAAAAUUCUUUCACCGGGGACGAUAAUGACGGUACCCGGAGAAGAAGCCCCGGCUAACUUCGUG